Mytilus californianus (California mussel) is the source of this 435-nucleotide long non-coding RNA. RefSeq lists it as uncharacterized. The record is from RefSeq and is a predicted model, not a curated record. Lineage: Eukaryota; Metazoa; Mollusca; Bivalvia; Mytilida; Mytilidae. The transcript has 3 exons.
AUCAGGAGCAGUCACAAGAAUAGAGAUGAAAUUCUUGAUUUUAGCAGUUGUAUCAGCAUUAUGCUUAGCAGGUUUUGCAGAAGCUAGAACACGAUUAUGUUUUACCGAAUUUGACUGUGGCUUUAACUUAGAUGGUUGUAACUAUGUCUGUCGAUCAAAAGGUUGCAGUGGUACGAAUUCUAGAUGUGUCCGCAACGACCAAUGUUGCUGUGAUUGUCCUGAAAGCGGUGGAUAUGGAAAGUAACGAUGCAGAGCUGCAGCAAUGACGUCAGUCAUUACAGAUCUAAUACAACCUGAAAGAUUAUAAUAUUUGCUUUGUAUUUUGUUUUUUGUUAUUGCACUUUCAUCAAAUUUAAUUGUGUCAAGAAAUUCACGUUUCACAUAUAUAUGUUAAAGAUUCACAUUUUACAAAAUAAACAAGACAUGUGCUUACCU